CAUCAAGAAGCUUAUGUUCUGUUGAAGGAGAGAGACCAUAGACAAAUAAAGAAAUUAAAUAUAAAAUAGAAGGUGAUAAGUGCUAUGAAGCAAAAUGAAUCGAGUUAAGGGCUUUAUAGAGCUCCCCUUCCUGUAGUUUCUUCUGCUUGCUUGUGUCCUGAGAUUCCUGGCUCUGCUUUCUGUCCCACCUGAACAUCCUUUCCGUACUCUGAUACCGAAGACAUGCUAAAUCUGGAUCUCACUCCCAGCAGUUACUCCUUGGGGCCCUGUCCUGGAUGUGAGUGUUAGCAGUUGCAGUUACUCACGUAUAACCAUGGUUUGAACAUACUGCAUGGAAAAUUCUAUACACAAACAAUUCAUAAGUUUUAAGUUGUCCACCAUUCUGAAUGGUAAAAUCACAUGCUGCCUAACUCCAUCCCUUCUUUACCACCAAAAGAAGGGUUGGGCCAUGAACCAACUUGGACUUCCUAUGCACUAUCAGCUACCCUGCUGCUGCGCCUUCUCACGUGACACCAC
This is a long non-coding RNA of Tupaia belangeri chinensis (Chinese tree shrew), 516 nucleotides long. RefSeq lists it as uncharacterized. The transcript has 4 exons. NCBI's taxonomy places the organism in Eukaryota, Metazoa, Chordata, Mammalia, Scandentia, Tupaiidae. The record is from RefSeq and is a predicted model, not a curated record.